This 677-nucleotide long non-coding RNA is filed under the name Homo sapiens (human). RNAcentral's name for it is "non-protein coding NUTM2A-AS1:41". The record is from RNAcentral. Lineage: Eukaryota; Metazoa; Chordata; Mammalia; Primates; Hominidae.
GCCCCGUCCGCGCAGCUCGUCCGGCCCGCCCGCAGGCCAGCUUCUCUCGGGAGCCUCCACCCAGGCGCAUGGCUCCAUGAAGCAAGAGGAGGAGGCAGAGCGCGAGAGAUCCCGUCCGCCCCAGCCGCGUCUGGGCCAGGAGAAAAGCAAAACCAUAUUCCUGCUGCUGUCAGUUUUGAUGCACUGAGAAAACUUCAGAGACCUAAGCUUUUUCCAGAGAAGAGAAGCUUUACUGGUGUUCCAGCCCUAAGAAACCUUUGUUCAACAAAACUGCAGAUGCUCUGUUGAAUCCACUGGAGAUUGUCCUGAUACUAAGGACAAGUAUCAACCAUCUUUCCUGUGAAAAAUUCCCUCUCCUAGUACUUUAGUUCUGUGGAUCCAAAAUUUAUAGCAUUCUUCUACCACCACAGGGGCUCAUAUGACAUUAACAGACAAGACACUUUUCAGAAAGACAGGCAACGUGUUGGACCUUCCGGAGCUUCUCAGAAGACAGAGGGUUUUCUUUUGAGUACCGUCUGGCAAAUGAUCUGCUUGGAUCCUCCUGGCUUUUUGAGAAUCGGCUGGCAUCAGGGUGCUGACUGACAAACUUCCCGGGGUCUGGGCACGGUGGGGACGGAGCCUGCAGACGGCGGUGUCCCCGCUAGAAGAGCCGUGGGGACGUGAUUAACAGGUCAGGC